UCCCUUUCAGGCUUCUCCCUUUUAAUUGCCAAAAUCACUUCAAAUUUAUAUUGUAGAUCAUAUUUUUGAGGCUUUUAAUCAUUCUUGAUUUCCUUUGGAUUCUCUCCAUAUUUAUGACGUCUUUCUUGAAAAUGAAUGAUAGUUAAGGCCAUAUAAUCUGUGCCAGAUAUGCUAAAUCUUGCCUGUCUGCUGUAAGUCCAGUUACGAAAUAUGAAUUUCCCUACCCCAGAGGAAUUAAUGACUUAUGAAGAGGAGGAAUUAUGACUAUUUUGUUUCACAAAUAAAAUAAAUCUUCAGAUUAUUUUCUGGAAAGAUAUUACUAUUAAACCAAUUAUUCUCUUUCUUUCAGUGAAUACUGCUUUUGCUGAAGGGCAGUGCUGCAAAUUUUGCACAUUUAGUAUACAGGAAUAGCUGAACCUGGUCCAGUUCAGUCCAUGCCAGAGUAUUUAUGCUACUGCCUCCUCUCCAAUGUUGGCAAAACAGAUUUCUGCGGUAAAACAGGAUGUAAGUAAGAGAUAUUAUUGUUCAUAUUGUUUUAUUUCAAUUGUGCACAUCACUAAUGAAAAAUCACAGAAGCGAGAAUAAUACAGACAUUGUCACUGUAUUUCCUGCUAUUCUGAUAAAAGCUGAAUAUGCUAAGCAGCUAUGCACUGGAAACAGUAAUCAAAGACCUUAGAAGACAGGGCAAGGACAUGACUCCUUCCUGAGAAGACAGGGAGGAAAGAGGGAGGUAGCUUUUUUAGGUGGGAAGUAAGAGAGACUGGAGCAUUCCAGGUCAGGGCAGCUGAGAAGAAGGGUCAUAGCUUUUGCUCCAUGCACCUCUCUUUGAUUUUCCCUGGAAGAAGGAAGUACAGCUACUUUGAACACCAGAAAUCUGAGAGGAGAUGUAAGUUUAACCUACAGGAAGGGGGCAUCCUGAACGCUUGGAAGAGAACUUUCUAGCAGAUUUCAGGUUUCUGUUUUUAAAACCCAAGUACUGGGUAGAACAAGGCAUGCUUGCAGAUUUUCAAAGGCCAUUUGGGCAACACGUAUC
RNAcentral lists this long non-coding RNA (1033 nucleotides) under Numida meleagris (helmeted guineafowl). RNAcentral describes it as "lncRNA (ENSNMEG00000020675.1)". The record is from RNAcentral. Lineage: Eukaryota; Metazoa; Chordata; Aves; Galliformes; Numididae.